This 90-nucleotide non-coding RNA is filed under the name Aureimonas sp. Leaf460. RNAcentral's name for it is "Glycine riboswitch aptamer". The stretch from base 11 to 81 matches the Rfam family "Glycine riboswitch aptamer", at positions 10 to 85 of the family's 94-position model. Rfam says of the family: This family represents the bacterial glycine riboswitch. The record is from Rfam by way of RNAcentral. Lineage: Bacteria; Pseudomonadati; Pseudomonadota; Alphaproteobacteria; Hyphomicrobiales; Aurantimonadaceae. RNAcentral also lists the same sequence under 1 other name.
ACCCGCCGCAGCGGGAGAGACCGGCGACGAGCCGGCGCCGAAGGAGCAACCGCCCCGGAAACUCUCAGGCAAAAGGACCGCGCGGCAUCG